AUGAAACAAUUCAAAAUCCCUACCUACUUCCAAUCCUUCCUAAAUCAUUCCCAAAUUGCGAUAUCAUCUUCUCCUUCUCAAUUUCGACUCCCUGGUAGUGUUUCGGUGCUGAUUAGAUGGUGUCAAGUGUUGCAGAGUGUUGGGUACUGGUUCGGAUGGUUUGAGGUUUAUGAUACAUAUGGCACAACUAUCAGGAAACUGAUAUCAAGAGGUCUUGGCGCAUAUACUGCAAAUCUGUCUUGCUGGGACAGUGCAGUAUUCUUGCAAUUGAGUGGAGCACUGUGUAGUAGUGCGUUGGGAUCCAUUGUUUACCGAGUAAGAUCCGAUGAUCAGGUUUCGAAGUCGCUGUUUCGUGGUUGGUUUAUCUGA
Vicia faba (fava bean) is the source of this 369-nucleotide non-coding RNA. The record is from the annotation of a GenBank genome assembly. Lineage: Eukaryota; Viridiplantae; Streptophyta; Magnoliopsida; Fabales; Fabaceae.